RNAcentral lists this ribosomal RNA (470 nucleotides) under uncultured bacterium. Its description in RNAcentral is "bacterial SSU rRNA". It matches the Rfam family "Bacterial small subunit ribosomal RNA", at positions 8 to 526 of the family's 1533-position model. The record is from RNAcentral.
AGAGUUUGAUCAUGGCUCAGAACGAACGCUGGCGGCAGGCUUAACACAUGCAAGUCGAACGCCCCGCAAGGGGAGUGGCAGACGGGUGAGUAACGCGUGGGAACAUACCCUUUCCUGCGGAAUAGCUCCGGGAAACUGGAAUUAAUACCGCAUACGCCCUACGGGGGAAAGAUUUAUCGGGGAAGGAUUGGCCCGCGUUGGAUUAGCUAGUUGGUGGGGUAAAGGCCUACCAAGGCGACGAUCCAUAGCUGGUCUGAGAGGAUGAUCAGCCACAUUGGGACUGAGACACGGCCCAAACUCCUACGGGAGGCAGCAGUGGGGAAUAUUGGACAAUGGGCGCAAGCCUGAUCCAGCCAUGCCGCGUGAGUGAUGAAGGCCUUAGGGUUGUAAAGCUCUUUCACCGAUGAAGAUAAUGACGGUAGUCGGAGAAGAAGCCCCGGCUAACUUCGUGCCAGCCGCCGCGGUAAUUC